RNAcentral lists this long non-coding RNA (439 nucleotides) under Physcomitrium patens. RNAcentral describes it as "long non-coding RNA (PPAT_LNC002823)". The record is from RNAcentral. Lineage: Eukaryota; Viridiplantae; Streptophyta; Bryopsida; Funariales; Funariaceae.
AAGUAAUUGUGCUUCUUUUUCUCAAAUAUAUAAUCAUGUCUUGAAAUAGAAUAGAUUAUUUUUAAACUAAAACUUAGAAAUAUUAUGAGACUAAAAAGAAUUUUUCUUAAUAUUAUAAACAAGAGGAUCAAAAGACAUACUCAAUUAAAUUUACUUAAGAAAGUUUGAAUCAAUAAUUAAUGUUGAUUACAUUAUUCAAAGAUGAAAAUAUUUUUGCUUUGAAAGAAGCAUUCUUUGUUAGUCAAAAGCUGUAUCUUUUACUUUUGAUAUAAGAUAAGAAUGUUUGACAAACCUUAUUGCUUUCUUUGUCAAUAAGUAAUCUUAAAAUCAAAUCUUGAUAAAAACAUGCUCUAAUAAGCUUGACAAUGAUUCAAAAUAUGUAUUGACAUAAAAUAUUUAAGGCUCUUAUAAUCAAUAUAUAUGAUGAUUAGAUUAAAAG